This 14195-nucleotide long non-coding RNA is filed under the name Selaginella moellendorffii. RNAcentral's name for it is "long non-coding RNA (SMOE_LNC001356)". The record is from RNAcentral. Lineage: Eukaryota; Viridiplantae; Streptophyta; Lycopodiopsida; Selaginellales; Selaginellaceae.
UUGGAUCUUUGUGAAAAUACUUGCAGGAAACAAUUUCAGGUCCUUGUCUUUGCAUUCAAACCUCCUGCCCCAGUAGUUGUGGUUUUUUUGAGUGUUAAUUGACAAUAAAUAUCCUGGAGGUGAAUAGUCUUCUUGCAAUAGUGUUGGCAUUAUCAACUCUUUGGGCAAGUUAUGCCAAUUCCCAUCCCAUGUUUCAUCCCAAGGCAAUAUCACUCCCAUCUCAUGGAGCACUCCAAGAAUGUACUCCACUAUUUUGUCUUGCUUCCCACAUUGUUGCUUCAACUGAUGUUUAACUUUGUGUGUUUCCAUUUUACUUUUGAGUUUGCUUGUCUCAGUAUGUAUGAAGAGUUGCACCACAUCCCUCAUAAACCAUUGGACAUCUAAGAUGACAAAUUGAGACACAAUGUCGUCCUCUUCAUGUCCCAAGCCAAAGUAAAUUGCAUCACCAGAAUCAUGUAGAAAUUGCAAGACAAAUUUGAGAACAUUCUCGGAACUCCUGUGAGGCAAGAGGAUUUCGCCAACUUUGUCUAGGGGUAUGACCUUCUUGUGACUUGCACCUUGUACCAGUUUCCUCUUUGCUUCAAGACAUUCCUGUGGUAUUUGUUGCUGGUUUGACAGCAGUUCGUCCAAGCAACUCCCCAACAUGGUUUUUAUCUCCCUUAAAGCUUUCACUUGAGUGGCCACCACCUCAAAACAAAGAUCUGUCCCAAACUCAAGUACUUGCCCAUAGCCUUUGUCGGAGAUUAUUGCAGAAACCACCUCCUUUGGGUCAAAGUCGGGUUCUGGAGUGAAAAAGUUCAAGGCAAUCAAGACCCUGGGCUUCCUUUUGGGUGAGGCUGAUUGAUGUGAAGCGAUGAACCUCAGCCAGUAAACCAAAUUCUGCUUGAAAACGUCACAAUUGUCAUCCUCCACCUUGCAUACGAUCAAGAAGAGAUCCUUCUCACUUCCUCUGAGAAAGUACUGGUGGAAAGCAUGGAACUCUUCCUGUCCAGCCAGGUCGCAAAUGAGCAGCUUUUGUUUGGUGGUCGCAAAGACAAGUGGUUGCAGCUCAAUGCCUGCUGUUGAAGCAUGCCUUUGGAGACAUGAUGGAAACCAAGACACUCUGCGGCAGAGGUUUUUUUUUAUUGUGGUCUUUCCAACCCUGCUAGCACCACACAAGAAGAGCUUUGCUGUUGACGGGUUGUCAAAGUCUUUGAAUGCACUCUGCUGGAAGAUUGCAUUCCGCUCUAAAAGACCAGAACACCUCUGCUUGAAAGCUUCAGAAGCUUCGGAAUCAUCACCUAGCUCAAGCACUUCCACGAGGCUUUGGUAGUUUUCCUCCAGGGCAGCCAGAAUUUGUCUUUUCUGUGCAUCACUAUCAAGAAAACGAGCCCUGAAUCUGCGCACCUUGCAUUUUGGAUCCCCCAGCAACUGGCAAAGCUCUUCCAGGUUUUCAAAUUUUCGCUCAGAUAUUUUCAAGUCUUCAAUGCUGCUUCCCAAAAGGCACCUCCAUGGCAGCUCCGACUCACAUGACAAAGCUUUCAGAGACUUGCAGCUGGUGAUAGCUUUCCAAAAGAGCUCCCCAUUCGUGAUUUUGCACUCCGAUAUACGCAAAUGCUCCAGUUGGCUCUUCUCUAUGCCCUCGGCAAACUCCAACGUUAACUCAUCGUCUUGUCCCGUGCUACCGCAUAUUCCCAAAUGGCGCAGCUUACAAUGUGGACUUGAGAGAGCUGACCACAGACUGCUGUCCCAGACCACUCCUCCUCCCUUUCUAAGGGUCAGAGGAAGCUGGCGGUGUCGCCUAUGCGAAUAAAGAUGAAGCUUGAUCAGCUUGCAAUUGCCCAACCAUCCACCACCAUCACCUGGAUAAAGUGUAACGCUGAGUUCCUCCAAGCCACACUUAGCGCUGCUCAGGGCCUCACCCAGGCCGGUUGCAUUGCUCAGGUCCAUAUAUUGGCAACCUAAAACUGACAGGCUGGUGCCCUCCUGAAGAGCCUUGCAUACCCAUGGCAACACUCCAGGAUCACUAAUAAGUAGGUUUAGUCUAAGCGAGUCCAAGCUGUUCGUGAGUGCCUUGAAGCGUGAUAGUCUUAUCAGUGGAAGGUUUGCUCCCACAAAUAGGUAUAGUCUUUGCAGUGAACAGUUUGGACUCGUGAGUGCCUUGAAGAGUGCUUCACCUGCCCCCUCUGGAAACGAUGCCCUCAGUUCUACUAGCUUAUUGCAAAUGCCAUUCUGAAAUGCCUGUUCCCACCCUUCCUUGCCAAUGUCCGUAUCGAUGAUGGAUAACUCUUCCACCUUGCACUCCUGACUUGCCAGAUCCCUACUCAAUUUCCCAAAUCCUUCCACUGUCAUCCUNNNNNNNNNNNNNNNNNNNNNNNNNNNNNNNNNNNNNNNNNNNNNNNNNNNNNNNNNNNNNNNNNNNNNNNNNNNNNNNNNNNNNNNNNNNNNNNNNNNNNNNNNNNNNNNNNNNNNNNNNNNNNNNNNNNNNNNNNNNNNNNNNNNNNNNNNNNNNNNNNNNNNNNNNNNNNNNNNNNNNNNNNNNNNNNNNNNNNNNNNNNNNUCUGUCAUCGUCAGUAGCUUUGCAAACCUCUGCAUCUCAAUCUGCCAAAUAUCCUGUCCCUGCUGAGGAGGAGCAAUGCCCUCUGCCACCCUUUGCAUUCGAUCACUGGGAAUGCCCAACCUACAAGCGACCCUGGCAGCGAAGUGGAUGAAUCUGAUGUCGAGCUGUGGUACCAAAGCGGCCUUGAGAAUGUCAAUGUGAGCAGCAGACGAACUGCCAUCACCAGCGCCCUGUCUAAACUGGGUGGAUGUGAAAUGCACCAGUUGAGCACACCAAGCAGAUCCUCCUCUGUGCCUCCAAACCUGUCGACGGUAGCACUCACCUCAUCAACAAACUCACCUUUGGAUGAGCGAAGCGCCUCCAGCUUCCCACAAUAAAACCGAAUCGCAUUGAAGUGCCGCUUGUUGUCCCGCUUCGCUGCGAGAGUCUCCUUGAUCUCCUUGACAGAAUGACAGGCGAUCCACUCUCGUCGCUCCUCCUCCAUGGAAGUUUGCCCUGGAUCGAAGGGGCAGUGGAGAGCACGAGUAAACUUGUAAAAGUGAACCUUGCCAGCAGUGGAAGCAAAGCACUAAAGAAAGUAUGCCAGCUGUGGAAGAAAAGCAAAGCAUAUGCCAGCUGUGGAAGCAAAGCACUAAGAAAGUGGAAGCAAAGCAUAUGCCAGCUGUGGAAGCAAAGCCAUCGUACAAGCGGACAGUACAAGCAAGAGUUAAUUUAGGUUUUAGGGUUCUUCGAGCAAGACGGCCAAGGCGGCGGAGAAGCGAGCUCAUCGCGACGAGAAGAAGGUGUGGGACGAGGAUGAUAUGGAUGCGAUCUUGGUAAGCAAAGCUCUGGCCAAAGACUCUCAAUCGUUUUCCUUCUUGUCAGGCUAAACUCCACGAGGAGAAAGCAAAGAAGAGCGAAAUUCAUGUCGAUGAGAAUGUAGCAGCUCCUUCACCACAAUGCAAUUGCUCUGUGCGUAAGAACUCGAUUGAAAUCUCCACUCUGGAAGCUCACAUUCUCUAGAAUUCUUCUUUCCUUGCGUUUCAGGUGACUGUAAAUCCCGUCAAGGACACUGCGCUGAUCGUCCAUGGAGGUGAAUACCAACAAUGGUGACAAGGUUUGUGGUUAGUUUCGCUACGGUGAUUUGAUCUUCGUGUUUGCUAUGCUAGACUUUACGUUUAUGGUGAUGAUCUCGACCAAGACAACAUCGAGAAGAACGAGUGGAAGCCUGUCACCAGUCCAAACUCUCCUCCCCGAGAAGCGCUCACCAGGGGGUUGCGUGGAAAAACUGGCUCUUCAGUUUUGGUAUGAUGUAUUUUUCCAGGACUUCUCUUGAUUUUGGCAGUGUAGGUGGUGAAUUCGGUUUCAUCACUAUAAGGUGUGUUUCUAGCUGACUUACAAGAGAGUUCUUGCAGGAUUUAUGGAGACUGGAUUUAAACACAAAUGUGUGGCGGGAGCAGCUCCAACUAAAAGGCUGUCCAGGUGCUCGUUCCGGACAUAGAUUUGUAUGUAUUGCGCUUCUAAACAUAAUCUUUAUUUUUUUCUUUCUUGCCACAGAAACAUAAACUUAUUCUAUUUGGUGGAUUUUAUGACACGCUGAGGGAAGUAAGGUCGGCUGUUUCUGCAGUGUAGAUGUUUAAUAUUGAAUUUUUGACACAGGUACUUCAAUAAUCUUUAAGUGCUGGAUUUAGACGAUUAUAAGGUUUGUUUCUGUUUCCUUGUUUUUUAACAACUAAACUGAUUUCCUUUUGCAGUGGCAAGAGAUAAAACCCAAGCUUGGAGCUGCCUGGCCUUCAGCUGGAACUGGUUCUCAGCUUGCUGUUUAUUUAGAUGAGGUAUUUGUCUACUAAAAGUAUAGUUUUGCGUGUUGUGAACAUUUUUUCUUUUCUAGAUUUUCUUGUACGGUGGCUAUUUCAAAGAGCCUGCCCCUGACAAAGAUCAAUCCGACAAAGGUGUAGUGCUCGCAGAUAUGUGGACGUUAGAUCCACGGAUUGGGAGUGGGACAAGGUUUGCUUGUUUUACAUUCUCGUAUGGAGUUUUAGUUUUUCAAUGUGUUUUGUGAAGGUGAAAAAAUCCGGUAUGGCUCCUGGCCAAGAGCAGGAUUUUUGUCCACAUCUUGUUUGGUGGUGUAGUUGAUGCUGAUGAGUACGGUUUCAAUGCAUGCGUUGGAAAAACUAAUGGCUUUUGCAGGUGAUUCCCUGCACAGCGUUUUUAUGAUCGAGAUGUAUAUGCUUUCCAGAUGGUUUGUAUCUCGUCGAUUUUUUUAAAAUUAUCUAAACACCAUCGCUCGCAGGUAUCCUUUGGAGCUUCUCAAGCCAAAGAGCCUAAAGAUUAAGGUAUGGUAAUCUGAGAUUGUGUAGUGGUUAAGUGUGCAUCCAAAGCAGAAGAAAGUGGUUGAUCCAAAUGUGGAAAAUGCGUCUCAACGUUGAGCGUUCUGCUUGAAGGUUGUUGCCUUGUGGAAGAAUGAAUGCUGGAAUGGUCGUUGGAAAGGAUACUUUGUUUCUGUAUGGAGGUAUGAAAGAAGUCGGCAAAAAAAAAGUGACACGACGACCUUUCCUCGCUGGACCUUCGAUGUGUGGAAGUGCAUUAUUGAGGUUAGUAUGAUCGAGCCAUCAUCCAGCCUCAUACUAAUGUCUCAAGCAGGAAACACAAAGCGCGUGGAUAGAAGCUAGUAAGGAGAAAGGCGAAACUGAUGGUGACAACAGUGAUGCUGGAUCGAUUAAUAAAGGAAAAGACGAAGAGGACGACGACGAGGUAGUAAAAAAGAAGGAUGUAAGAAAACUUGUCGGCUUCCUUUUGUAGGAUGCAGUGGAGUCACUGUGAAGAGGCAGCUGCUAUUCUUAGGGGCGAAGGCAGAAAGCUGACACAGAAAGCACGGAAAUUAAAGAUCGAUCCGGCUGGGCAUGGCUGAUUCCCAACAAACACUUUUGGUGAGUGCUGAUAGUAGUUCAUCUUCCUGUUUUGUUAUUGAUUUGUCUUUCAGCCUGGAGAAACGCUGAGAGAAUUUUUCUCUUGGACGAUCAUGUAUUGGCAAAUGGCACCUUACGAUCACACCCAACACACUGGAAAGGUGACAACGCAGGUUUUCUUUCGCUCGUUCUUCAUGCUCUAUGCACCUCUCAGGAGCUCAGGAAGGAUGGAUUUGACUUGGCAAAGACACGCUACAGAGAACUUAAACCCAGCUUAAGCUCACUGGCUUGCCCUUCUCGGGGAUGAAGUCGAUGGAUCACUGCCCGAUCACUCCACCACUUCUUGUCGACUGGAAAAGUCUUUAAAUUCCUCUCGCUGACACGGCAUUAGCCUGAGAUCAAGGCCGCGGAUCAUCCAGCAAAGUCUAAGCUUUUUGCCAAGGAUGUGACGAGCUAACGUGUUGUCCAGAGCGCUUACAGGUUCCAUUGUUUUUUCCAUGACAAUUCUUUUUCCUCUGGCGACCGGCACGAAAGUCGUCCGAAGCAACCCAAACUGGAAACAAGAUACAUGCCCAGUUUCUCGGACAGAUUUCCUCAAGCCCGGCAGCACACGGAAGACGAAGAAAUUCGUUAAAAAAUCCACGAGCAAGCAGCAAGAGAGAGAGAGAGAGAGAGAGAGAGAGAGAGAGAGAGAGAGAGACAUAAAGAACUUUGCCAAGCCCAAAGUCGUUGAUGUUAAGCUAGGCCGUGCUUGAAGCGCGUGAUGAUGAUCAUGAAAGUUCCUGUCGAGAUGCUCGGUGGAUUCUCCGUGUCUCCAGCUAGAGACUUAUCGAUCAAUCCACAGUGUGCGGCAGCCGUCGUUUCGCUCGAUCGCUCCCUCGUUUGCAAAAGCUCGGACUUGACGAUCCUUCUCUUUCUGCCAUGGAUUCCUCCAUGAAGAGACCACCGAGCCAAGUUGCGAGAUUGAGGUUAAGCUGUAGUGAUCUUACGGACAUCCUCUUUUUGGAUUGCUUCCUUUUUUACUCCGCAUAUCGUAUCGACACUGUUGUAGAAGAAACAAACGAGUUUUGGAGGUAGCAACUUCCCUUCCAUUUGAUUGAUACAUGAAGAACAAGACAUCGCUUGCAAGUGGAAGAUCACACGGGAGAUGUUUGGAGUCAAACUGGAACUUUCGUGAUUGUUACGAGCACCUCCCCUGAAUCCAGCACCACACUAUCUAUCUGGUAAUGUUUCAAAACGAGUAAACUAAUCAGUGUUUGGGAAUGAAUGUUUGUGCUGCUUGGCCAGUUGCACUGCGGCAGCAGAGGAGGAUGUUUUGCGGCAACUAUACCCGACUAAAUCGAAGUACUUUAAUUGCAAUUUGUAAGAUCACAAGUACUAGUCCUGAAGAAAAACAGCGAGAUGUGCUUAUAAUCAAGGCAUUCUUGCAACGCAAGUGGAAAUUCACUGUGUUUACCUGGGCUUUCCGAGGAUGCUUCAUCUGAAUCGCAUAGUGUCACCCUGCCAUGAAAAAGACAAGAGAAAAAUUCUUACUCACUAGAGUUUGGCAAUUUUACUCUAGUUACUACAAUUUUUCCAUUGUUGAUACUCACUGUAGUUUCAUUCAACUCCACACUUUUUUACUUGAUUAGAGAUGUAAAGUUUUGUGUCAUGUUCUAGAAUUUUGUCUAUAGUUACAAAACCACAAGCUUAUCCAUAAAUGGAUUGAUAUUACUAUAAACAAUUAAAGAAAACAACUUGAAAGAUGUCAAAUAUAGAGGGAAAGGGCUCAUGAAUAAAAAUACAUCUUAUUUUCCAAAUGCACUUAUUUUUCCAAUCGGUUAAAGGUCUUGGGAUAUUUGGGGUUAAAUGUCUCUCGGUUAGGUAAUUUCCCGGGAAUUUCAAAUUUAAGAGUUUAUAAUUACUUCAAUGCAAAGGUAUAAUUUCAACUUCUUUCUCUUCCUUUCAGCUUCUUUUCUUUGUUUUUCAAUAUGUAGUGAGUGAAAUGCUUUCACUCGUAAGUUUUUCAUAGAUGAGUGAAUAAAACUUGAUUAACUCUUAUAACCUAUUUUUCCAAAGUUACAUUUAAGAUGGCUAAGUGAGCAGUGUGAUGUGCUUUUACAACCAAGUGAAUAGUUUCUUAACUUGUGCUAAUCAAAAUUUGCUCACAGAUAUAAUAUAAAAUAGGUGGGGAUGCAAUAAAUUUAUUCAUUUCUCUCCUUGAGAAAAAUCAUUCUUUUACUUCUUGUUAAAUAUAUAGUUUCUGAUUAUGAUGUUCUUUCACUUUUUUUGAAGGGUGCAACAUAUACUCCCUUAGUCAAAGAUGCAGUUGUUGAUUCCAUGUUAUAGGUAAAAAUUUGAUAAUUAGAAUUGUUGCAAGUUUCAAUAUUAAUUUUGGGACCAACUUCUAAAGUUUUACCAAGAUUAUUUUAAAUUAAUAAGUUCAAAACUCUUUCUUGACAAUCAUGAGAAGUCAACACUUCAAAUUGGAAAUAUCACCAAGGUUAACUUUAACCAUAUAAUAUCCAAUCUCAUUACAACCAAAAUGUGGCUUAGAUUAUUCAAUGGCAAUCUAAACACUUAACCAUAUUCAUCACUUGGAAAUGCAAUGAUAAAUAUCAACAGUUUGCUUUAGAUAUUGCUUUCCAAGGAAUUGUUCUCCUAAAAAACAAUGGCUUACUACUUUUAUUCACAAUCUUGAAAAUUGUGGCUCGUAUAGGAAACUAUAUAAAUACAACAUACAUGAUACUUGGAAACUACAAAUGUGAAAGAUAAGUUUUUUCUCAAAACUCUUUAGAUAUUAUUUAUGGUUUUUUUGGAGAAAUGUCAUACAAGUAUGUAUCACCUUUGCAAAACAUGCAAAUCUACAAUAAUAACAUUCUCUAUUUAUAGUACUUAUUUCGAGAAUGUAGUCUCAACUCAUUUCCAACAUUUCAAAUGCAACCACUUAUCUUAUUAUUCUUGUGAUCACUACUUUUUGUUGAUAUCUUGGCUUUCAAGGACAAUUUAUGAAUCUCAAGUGUUAUUUGGUUUGGAUAUUUUCGUUAGUCCAAAAGUGCUACUCUCACUCUUAUUACUUUUGGAGCAUAAAAUCCAAGUAUUCCUUCUCUUGCUUUUUUUUCUUUGUAAUACAAACAUUGAAUCUAAAAUUAAGUGGUCACUUGGUAAAUACUUAGUACCACAAGGCAUCCAUAAAUGUUUCCAUAUUGGAUAUGAAAAUGAAAUACAAUCCAUUGUUGAUAUUUAAGGAGAAGCUAUCAAUUUUACACAAGGUNNNNNNNNNNNNNNNNNNNNNNNNNNNNNNNNNNNNNNNNNNNNNNNNNNNNNNNNNNNNNNNNNNNNNNNNNNNNNNNNNNNNNNNNNNNNNNNNNNNNNNNNNNNNNNNNNNNNNNNNNNNNNNNNNNNNNNNNNNNNNNNNNNNNNNNNNNNNNNNNNNNNNNNNNNNNNNNNNNNNNNNNNNNNNNNNNNNNNNNNNNNNNNNNNNNNNNNNNNNNNNNNNNNAGAUUGUCCAACUGUAGAGAGCAACAAAAUGAACUAUAAAUUUAUAAUAAUAUUUUGCCCAAUCUCGACAAAACCAUUAAUAAAUCAAAGUUUUAGCCAAAUGUUCAUCUAUGCUUGAUAAUUUAACUCCACUCAAUCAAAACAUAAAGCCCUAAGUUGGACAAUGUAUUUUUUAUCAAGCUGGUCCUCUUUAACAAGUUCCAUAUAUAAAUAAUAUAGUGACUUUCUUCUUUUGUAAGUUAUUGUCUAAAAAGAGUUUAUUUCAAAUUCACUUAAAUCUUUAUCUUGAGAAAUUACUUAGCUUGGCAUAAAAUAUUAGCAACCCAAUACUAAAUACUAGCCUAAAAAUUUGAGAAAAACAUAUAAACUAGUAUAUUAGUGAUAAUUUGAAGCUUUUUCUUGCUAAUUUACAAGGUAUAAUAAAUGAUUGAGAUGUUGGUUCUCUAGACAAGGAUGAGAUAAAGAUUGGGAGUGAGCUUAUGCAAACAUCUCUAAGCCAAACUUCUUUAUUUGGCUCAUAAACUUGGUUGAGUUUACAAAGGUUUUGAUAAAGUUUAUUUUUGAAUUUUUGCAUGUCAUAAAUGCUUAUCAAGGCAAUGUAAAUAGGAGUAUACUAUAAUAAUGGCUUGUCAUUUUUGUUAUGGUAGUGGUGAUCGCAACUAUCACCAUGCUUUCGGCAUCUUUAUAAAUGAUUAAUUUUUUUUUACUUUAGGAUCAUCUAAAGGAGUCUCACUCAUAAUCUCUAUAAGCCCUGAUAUUAAUUUGGGUGUUUGUUAACUUUAAGAUGUGUUCUUGUAACCACAUCAACUUUGUACUUAGUCUAAAUGCUCUAUGUGUCCAAUUCCACUUUUGGAUACCUUUUAUGAAGUCCAAAUUUAAAAACUUAUAUUUGGUAUUAGAGAAAUCUAAGGUGUGAUUCUAUUAGUUGAUUAAAGAAAUCACACCACAUGUUAAAAUUGAUAUUUAAUAAGUUUAAUUUACUCCAAUUUCAACUCAAGGGGUAGGGUGUUAAAAGAGCGAGGCUCUUAGAAGAGCUGCAACUUUCAACUUCCAUUUAUGAAGGCAUGAACUUGCAAAAAAGCAUGAUGGAUUAUAAACAACCAAAGAUAAUAACUUAAAAAAUUAUUAAUAUUGUUUUAAAUAUAGAAAUGUACCUUUUGUUCCAAUUAGUUAUAAAUCUUAGGUUAUUUGAGAUUAAACAUCUUUAAAUAGUAUUGGGUUAGAUGACCUUCUAGAAAGCCUAAAUUCAUGAGAUUAUCGUGCCAUAAAUAAUAUAUGUUAAUGUUUGUAAAGAACCUAGCAAAAAAGAAAACAAUUUAAAAUUAAACAACCUUUUGAAAAUGAAAUAUUUACUAGAAUGUUCAAAAUAAGUAUUUAGAAAGCAUUUUCAUUAGAGCUACUCUCAAGUAACACUUGAUGUGUUUCAAAUGAUUUCAUAGUAAAAACUAUCUUUAUACUUCAUUUUUAAAAUAAUUAUAAGUUUUGUUUAAUACAUAUUUUGUAUUUUGUAAAAGAUGUCUACAGACACUCAAAAACCUUUUGCUAUUAAAUUAUUGUCAUUCAAGCACUUGCUUACAAUAGUUAAAGCACAAUACAGUGUUUGGUUUUAUGGGAUGGCAUAUAUAUGUAAUUAAGGAGAGUAAAAAAAUUUCUAUAUAGAGUUUAGUAAGUAAAUGGAAUUGUGAACAAUGAUAAUUUUCAUAAGUCUUUAAACUGUAGUUUGUAACAUAUUUUAGCUAAACAUUAAUUUAAAGAAUAAGUUGAAGUUGGUAAAGAUAAUAUAAAGUUAUCUCCUACAAUAUGUGAUGAUAAAUAACAAUUAAGCCACUUGUAUAUACUUUUGAAAUGCAUUACCUACGAGAGGUGGAUUAAUGUUAAUUAACUUCAUUCCUAGAAUUGUUUACCAAAUAUGCCAAAAUAAAAAAUGCCGCUAACAUGAAAUCAUCUGAGUAGCUUUUCUUUAAAGCAUUCAAUACUGAAACAUCAGAAUAAAUAUAAAAAUUAUUUUAGAGCAAUAUGCAAAGAUAACACAUCAACUUAUAUCUGGAAAUGUAGCAUAAUCAUAGUGAAAAUAACAUUCUGCCAUAGCUAUAACAAUAUAGAGGACAUUUGAUUUAUCAUUGCCUUGGUAAAUAGUCUCAAAAAUCAAUAUAAUCAAUGAUUUAUUUUAAAUGCCCUAUAUAGUCUUUGUUAAAUAAAACUAAAAUCAUAGAUAUAUUUCAAAGUAAAAUACCUUUGUAAAUCCAUACUAUUUUAUAAUCCAAGGUUAUAAGAUGGAUAUUAAAAUAUUUGGUCAUGAUUGUCUUUUGGUCAAUUUCUUUCACAAUUUUAGUUUUCAUAUCGAAAUGUCAUUAAUGUGAAAUCAUUUGAUGAGUUUUUCCUUCACUUUGAUUAUUAAAAAUUCAACACUGAAAUAAACUUGAAACAUUAGAAUAAACAUGAAAUAAUAUUUUAGAGCAAUAAUGUAAACUUACUUCAUCAACUUUUGUUACAAAAUAUAGCCCAAUCAUUCCAAAGACAUAUAGUAAUAAUUAUAUAAAGUAUGUUCAUUUAUCUUCAUCUUUCUAAACUAACUUGUAAAAAUAUAUAUUAAUGAUCUGCUUUAGAAUGGUGUUUGUUAGAUAAAACUAAAAACUUAAAUGUUAAAUACCUUUGCAGAUCCAUAUUUUUCUUUCAUCCAGGAUUAUGGGAUGAAGAGCAAAAUAUAUAAUUAAUGAUUUACUUUAAAUGCCCUACAUAGCCUUUGUUAGAUAAAACUAAAAGCAUGGAUAUAUUUCAAUAUAAAAUACCUUUGUAAAUAUAUAUUGUUUUAUCAUCCAAAUUAUGGGAUAAAAUAUAAAAUAUUUGGUACCUUUUCCUUCACUUAAAAUAUUAGAUAUUCAACACUGAAAUAAACUUGAAACAUUAAAAUAAACAGGAAAGAAUAAUUUGGAGUUAUAAUACAAACUUACCUCAUUAACUUCAGCUACAAAAUAGACUUGAAUCAUACCAAAGAUAUAUAGUAAUAACUAUAUAAAGCAUAUUUAUUUACCUUCGUUUUGCUAAACCACCUCAUAAAAAUAUAGAUUAAUGAUCUGCUUUAGAAUGGUGUUUGUUAAAUAAAAUAAAAAAUUUAAAUGCUAAAUACCUUUGCAAACCCAUAUUUGUUUUCCCUCCAAGAUUAUGGGAUGAAGAGCAAAAUAUUUUUCCAUGAUUGUCUCCUGUUUUUCUUUUUUCCCAAAUUUAGUUGUCACUAGCUUAAAUAUCUCUUGCACAUCUUCUGCUUUGGGAUUUGUAGUUAGCUUGCUUUUGAGAAGACAUGAAUCCAAAAAGCUUAUAAGCCUUCCCUUGGUUUCAUCCACGAUUGCAUUCACUAUCGGUCCAACACCAGCAAAAUGUCCUCCAACUUUGGCCCCAAUAAAUAAUAAGAUCAAUGUAUGUUUAAGUACUAGAGCAAAUUUCUUGAGCCAGUUUGGUGGGAGAUCCAAUUCAACACCUAUAGAACUCUUCACUUGAUGACCUUUAGAAGUUCCUUCAGGCCAUUCACACAAGUAGUGAAGUCUACCAUGUGUUCCCAGUAUUUUACUGUAAUUUUUCCACAUAUUAUUCUCAUCAAGAAUAUAUGGAUAUUUUGGGCAAUCUGUCUCCAAUUUCAAUAAUACUCGAAAACACGUUGUAUGGAUUGCAUUCACUUUAUCUAUGAUAGACUUGAGUCCAUUCUUGAGCUCGUUAACGCUUACUUCAAUGUCAUUAAGUUUUGUAUCCAACUUGUCAAAACGGUUCUCCAUUUUAUCAAACAUCUUCUUAAUAUAUCUAAAAAUUGCAUCGAGUUUUGGGUCUUCAAUGUUUGGAAACUCAACAACAUUUGAUGAUGCUUUGGGAANNNNNNNNNNNNNNNNNNNNNNNNNNNNNNNNNNNNNNNNNNNNNNNNNNNNNNNNNNNNNNNNNNNNNNNNNNNNNNNNNNNNNNNNNNNNNNNNNNNNNNNNNNNNNNNNNNNNNNNNNNNNNNNNNNNNNNNNNNNNNNNNNNNNNNNNNNNNNNNNNNNNNNNNNNNNNNNNNNNNNNNNNNNNNNNNNNNNNNNNNNNNNNNNNNNNNNNNNNNNNNNNNNNNNNNNNNNNNNNNNNNNNUCCCAUGAUUCUAAUUUGUCCACCUUAUUUAGUAUCCUUCUCCAUACAUAACCACGUCUCAUCACAUUUUCUUCAAUUUCCAAAGAUGGGCAAUCCUCCAUACAUACCCCAAUAAUGCAAUUUCUAAUUUUUUCCAUCCAUCCUUCAGCUUCCUUUUCCAAAUCCGGCCUUAGUGUAUUCUCUACCUCUUUUGGGUAGUAAAUGAUGACAUCAACCCAUUGCCUAUCUUUCCAAUUGUCUGUGUCUCCCCCAACUCUCACAAUUAUCUCGAUAAGGUUUUUUUUCAAAGCCACCCAUCCAUUCCCAAGCCUGAAACCUUUCUUGCUUAAUUUGUGAAGCUUAACUUGGAUCUUUGUGAAAAUACUUGCAGGAAACAAUUUCAGGUCCUUGUCUUUGCAUUCAAACCUCCUGCCCCAGUAGUUGUGGUUUUUUUGAGUGUUAAUUGACAAUAAAUAUCCUGGAGGUGAAUAGUCUUCUUGCAAUAGUGUUGGCAUUAUCAACUCUUUGGGCAAGUUAUGCCAAUUCCCAUCCCAUGUAUCAUCCCAAGGCAAUAUCACUCCCAUCUCAUGGAGCACUCCAAGAAUGUACUCCUCUAUUUUGUCUUGGUUCCCACAUUGUUGCUUCAACUGAUGUUUAACUCUAUGUGUUUCCAUUUUACUUUUGAGUUUGCUUGUCUCAGUAUGUAUGAAGAGUUGCACCACAUCCCUCAUAAACCAUUGGACAUCUAAGAUGACAAAUUGAGACACAAUGUCGUCCUCUUCAUGUCCCAAGCCAAAGUAAAUUGCAUCACCAGAAUCAUGUAGAAAUUGCAAGACAAAUUUGAGAACAUUCUCGGAACUCCUGUGAGGCAAGAGGAUUUCGCCAACUUUGUCUAGGGGUAUGACCUUCUUGUGACUUGCACCUUGUACCAGUUUCCUCUUUGCUUCAAGACAUUCCCGUGGUAUUUGUUGCUGGGAUGACAGCAGUUCGUCCAAGCAACUCCCCAACAUGGUUUUUAUCUCCCUUAAAGCUUUCACUUGAGUGGCCACCACCUCAAAACAAAUAUCUGUCCCAAACUCAAGUACUUGCCCAUAGCCUUUGUCUUUGUCGGAGAUUAUUGCAGAAACCACCUCCUUUGGGUCAAAGUCGGGUUCUAGAGUGAAAAAGUUCAAGGCAAUCAAGACCCUGGGCUUCCUUUUGGG